GUGCCAGCCGCCGCGGUAAUACGGAGGGUGCAAACGUUGCUCGGAAUCACUGGGCGUAAAGCGCACGUAGGCGGCCUUGUAAGUUGGAUGUGAAAGCCCUGGGCUCAACCCAGGAAGUGCAUCCAAAACUGCAUGGCUUGAGUACCGGAGGGGUUCAGAGAAUUCCUGGUGUAGAGGUGAAAUUCGUAGAUAUCAGGAGGAAUACCAGUGGCGAAGGCGCUGAACUGGACGGUAACUGACGCUGAGGUGCGAAAGCGUGGGUAGCAAACAGGAUUAGAAACCCUUGUAGUCC
Molecule: ribosomal RNA, 292 nt
Filed under: uncultured bacterium
Lineage: Bacteria
Description: partial 16S ribosomal RNA
Rfam family: Bacterial small subunit ribosomal RNA
Source: RNAcentral